Regulatory RNA element from Kandleria vitulina DSM 20405, 76 nucleotides. It matches the Rfam family "c-di-GMP-I riboswitch aptamer". Rfam says of the family: GEMM was predicted in a large-scale screen for bacterial structured RNA regulatory elements. Genes associated with GEMM are involved in a diverse array of functions, including chemotaxis regulation, signal transduction, secretion and chitin. Lineage: Bacteria; Bacillati; Bacillota; Erysipelotrichia; Erysipelotrichales; Coprobacillaceae. The record is from Rfam.
CAAAUUUAUAGGCAAAAUGAAUGAAAAUUCAUGACGCAAAGCUAUAGGGCCUUUAAACUGGCUGCCAGCUGCAAAA